Molecule: ribosomal RNA, 253 nt
Filed under: uncultured bacterium
Lineage: Bacteria
Description: partial 16S ribosomal RNA
Rfam family: Bacterial small subunit ribosomal RNA
Source: RNAcentral
UACGUAGGGUGCAAGCGUUGUCCGGAAUUAUUGGGCGUAAAGAGCUCGUAGGCGGUUUGUCGCGUCGAAUGUGAAAACCCGGGGCUCAACCCCGGGCCUGCAUUCGAUACGGGCAGACUAGAGUUCGGUAGGGGAGUCUGGAAUUCCUGGUGUAGCGGUGAAAUGCGCAGAUAUCAGGAGGAACACCGGUGGCGAAGGCGGCUACCUGGACCGGUUCUGACGCUGAGGCGCGAAAGCGUGGGUAGCAAACAGG